This 492-nucleotide ribosomal RNA is filed under the name uncultured bacterium. RNAcentral's name for it is "partial 16S ribosomal RNA". It matches the Rfam family "Bacterial small subunit ribosomal RNA", at positions 28 to 507 of the family's 1533-position model. The record is from RNAcentral.
GAUGAACGCUAGCUACAGGCUUAACACAUGCAAGUCGAGGGGAAACGGCAUCGAAAGCUCGCUUUUGAUGGGCGUCGACCGGCGCACGGGUGAGUAACGCGUAUCCAACCUGCCCAUCACUUGGGAAUAACCUUGCGAAAGUAAGACUAAUGUCCAAUGACAUCCCACGAAGGCAUCCGCAUGGGAUCAAAGAUUUAUCGGUGAUGGAUGGGGAUGCGUCUGAUUAGCUUGUUGGCGGGGUGACGGCCCACCAAGGCAACGAUCAGUAGGGGUUCUGAUAGGAAGGUCCCCCACAUUGGAGCUGAGGCACGGUCCACACUCCUACGGGAGGCAGGAGUAAGGAAUAGUGGUCGAUGGGCGAGAGCCUGAACCAGCCAAGUAGCGUGCAGGAUCACGGCCCUAUGGGUUUUAAACUGCUGUUAAAAGGGGAAAAAGUGGGUCACGUGUGACUUUUUGCAUGUACCUGAUGAAUAAGGACCGGCUAAUUCCGUG